RNAcentral lists this long non-coding RNA (249 nucleotides) under Prunus persica (peach). Its description in RNAcentral is "long non-coding RNA (PPER_LNC000707)". The record is from RNAcentral. Lineage: Eukaryota; Viridiplantae; Streptophyta; Magnoliopsida; Rosales; Rosaceae.
GGUGCUCUAGGCACACAAUCGAAAAUUAGCAACAUGUUCAGGCAAUGGAGGAUCCCUAGAAGCAGGUUGAUCAACUCCCAUUCCUCCCGCUUAUGCGGACUCAACGAACAACUUUGGCAUAGGAACAUCCAACUGUACCAUAAGUACAGGUGUUACCCUAUGCAAAACCUUCGGCUUCUAUUCGGAAUCUUCCGAAACUUCUGAAACAACCACUGUCUGUGGUAAAGCUCCAACUCUUCUUAUAUUUCG